GGUUAAGCGACUAAGCGUACACGGUGGAUGCCCUGGCAGUCAGAGGCGAUGAAGGACGUGCUAAUCUGCGAUAAGCGUCGGUAAGGUGAUAUGAACCGUUAUAACCGGCGAUUUCCGAAUGGGGAAACCCAGUGUGAUUUGUCACACUAUCAUUAACUGAAUCCAUAGGUUAAUGAGGCGAACCGGGGGAACUGAAACAUCUAAGUACCCCGAGGAAAAGAAAUCAACCGAGAUUCCCCCAGUAGCGGCGAGCGAACGGGGAGGAGCCCAGAGCCUGAAUCAGUGUGUGUGUUAGUGGAAGCGUCUGGAAAGGCGCGCGAUACAGGGUGACAGCCCCGUACACAAAAAUGCACAUGCUGUGAGCUCGAUGAGUAGGGCGGGACACGUGGUAUCCUGUCUGAAUAUGGGGGGACCAUCCUCCAAGGCUAAAUACUCCUGACUGACCGAUAGUGAACCAGUACCGUGAGGGAAAGGCGAAAAGAACCCCGGCGAGGGGAGUGAAAAAGAACCUGAAACCGUGUACGUACAAGCAGUGGGAGCACGCUUAGGCGUGUGACUGCGUACCUUUUGUAUAAUGGGUCAGCGACUUAUAUUCUGUAGCAAGGUUAACCGAAUAGGGGAGCCGAAGGGAAACCGAGUCUUAACUGGGCGUUAAGUUGCAGGGUAUAGACCCGAAACCCGGUGAUCUAGCCAUGGGCAGGUUGAAGGUUGGGUAACACUAACUGGAGGACCGAACCGACUAAUGUUGAAAAAUUAGCGGAUGACUUGUGGCUGGGGGUGAAAGGCCAAUCAAACCGGGAGAUAGCUGGUUCUCCCCGAAAGCUAUUUAGGUAGCGCCUCGUGAAUUCAUCUCCGGGGGUAGAGCACUGUUUCGGCAAGGGGGUCAUCCCGACUUACCAACCCGAUGCAAACUGCGAAUACCGGAGAAUGUUAUCACGGGAGACACACGGCGGGUGCUAACGUCCGUCGUGAAGAGGGAAACAACCCAGACCGCCAGCUAAGGUCCCAAAGUCAUGGUUAAGUGGGAAACGAUGUGGGAAGGCCCAGACAGCCAGGAUGUUGGCUUAGAAGCAGCCAUCAUUUAAAGAAAGCGUAAUAGCUCACUGGUCGAGUCGGCCUGCGCGGAAGAUGUAACGGGGCUAAACCAUGCACCGAAGCUGCGGCAGCGACACUAUGUGUUGUUGGGUAGGGGAGCGUUCUGUAAGCCUGUGAAGGUGGCCUGUGAGGGUUGCUGGAGGUAUCAGAAGUGCGAAUGCUGACAUAAGUAACGAUAAAGCGGGUGAAAAGCCCGCUCGCCGGAAGACCAAGGGUUCCUGUCCAACGUUAAUCGGGGCAGGGUGAGUCGACCCCUAAGGCGAGGCCGAAAGGCGUAGUCGAUGGGAAACAGGUUAAUAUUCCUGUACUUGGUGUUACUGCGAAGGGGGGACGGAGAAGGCUAUGUUGGCCGGGCGACGGUUGUCCCGGUUUAAGCGUGUAGGCUGGUUUUCCAGGCAAAUCCGGAAAACUAAGGCUGAGGCGUGAUGACGAGGUACUACGGUGCUGAAGCAACAAAUGCCCUGCUUCCAGGAAAAGCCUCUAAGCAUCAGGUAACAUCAAAUCGUACCCCAAACCGACACAGGUGGUCAGGUAGAGAAUACCAAGGCGCUUGAGAGAACUCGGGUGAAGGAACUAGGCAAAAUGGUGCCGUAACUUCGGGAGAAGGCACGCUGAUAUGUAGGUGAAGCGACUUGCUCGUGGAGCUGAAAUCAGUCGAAGAUACCAGCUGGCUGCAACUGUUUAUUAAAAACACAGCACUGUGCAAACACGAAAGUGGACGUAUACGGUGUGACGCCUGCCCGGUGCCGGAAGGUUAAUUGAUGGGGUUAGCGGUAACGCGAAGCUCUUGAUCGAAGCCCCGGUAAACGGCGGCCGUAACUAUAACGGUCCUAAGGUAGCGAAAUUCCUUGUCGGGUAAGUUCCGACCUGCACGAAUGGCGUAAUGAUGGCCAGGCUGUCUCCACCCGAGACUCAGUGAAAUUGAACUCGCUGUGAAGAUGCAGUGUACCCGCGGCAAGACGGAAAGACCCCGUGAACCUUUACUAUAGCUUGACACUGAACAUUGAGCCUUGAUGUGUAGGAUAGGUGGGAGGCUUUGAAGUGUGGACGCCAGUCUGCAUGGAGCCGACCUUGAAAUACCACCCUUUAAUGUUUGAUGUUCUAACGUUGACCCGUGAUCCGGGUUGCGGACAGUGUCUGGUGGGUAGUUUGACUGGGGCGGUCUCCUCCUAAAGAGUAACGGAGGAGCACGAAGGUUGGCUAAUCCUGGUCGGACAUCAGGAGGUUAGUGCAAUGGCAUAAGCCAGCUUGACUGCGAGCGUGACGGCGCGAGCAGGUGCGAAAGCAGGUCAUAGUGAUCCGGUGGUUCUGAAUGGAAGGGCCAUCGCUCAACGGAUAAAAGGUACUCCGGGGAUAACAGGCUGAUACCGCCCAAGAGUUCAUAUCGACGGCGGUGUUUGGCACCUCGAUGUCGGCUCAUCACAUCCUGGGGCUGAAGUAGGUCCCAAGGGUAUGGCUGUUCGCCAUUUAAAGUGGUACGCGAGCUGGGUUUAGAACGUCGUGAGACAGUUCGGUCCCUAUCUGCCGUGGGCGCUGGAGAACUGAGGGGGGCUGCUCCUAGUACGAGAGGACCGGAGUGGACGCAUCACUGGUGUUCGGGUUGUCAUGCCAAUGGCACUGCCCGGUAGCUAAAUGCGGAAGAGAUAAGUGCUGAAAGCAUCUAAGCACGAAACUUGCCCCGAGAUGAGUUCUCCCUGACUCCCUGAGAGUCCUGAAGGAACGUUGAAGACGACGACGUUGAUAGGCCGGGUGUGUAAGCGCAGCGAUGCGUUGAGCUAACCGGUACUAAUGAACCGUGAGGCUUAACCUU
RNAcentral lists this ribosomal RNA (2905 nucleotides) under Escherichia coli. Its description in RNAcentral is "23S ribosomal RNA". It matches the Rfam family "Bacterial large subunit ribosomal RNA". Lineage: Bacteria; Pseudomonadati; Pseudomonadota; Gammaproteobacteria; Enterobacterales; Enterobacteriaceae. The record is from RNAcentral.